AUACCCGCUCCGCGAGUGGUGGGGACUUUUACUGGGCUUAAAGCGCCCGUAGCCGGCUGGGUGUGUCCUCCGUUAAAUCCACAGGCCUAACCUGUGGGCUGCGGGGGAUACUACCCGGCUUGGGGGUGGGAGAGGGCGGCGGUAUUCCCGGGGUAGGGGUAAAAUCCACUGAUCCCGGGAGGACCACCAGUGGCGAAGGCGGCCGCCCAGAACACGCCCGACGGUGAGGGGCGAAAGCUGGGGGAGCAAACGGGAUUAGAAACCCCGGUAGUCC
Molecule: ribosomal RNA, 274 nt
Filed under: uncultured bacterium
Lineage: Bacteria
Description: partial 16S ribosomal RNA
Rfam family: Archaeal small subunit ribosomal RNA
Source: RNAcentral